AUUGAACGCUGGCGGCAGGCCUAACACAUGCAAGUCGAACGAGUGGCGGACGGGUGAGUAAUGUCUGGGAAACUGCCUGACGGAGGGGGAUAACUACUGGAUACGGUAGCUAAUAACGCAUACCAUCGGAUGUGCCCAGAUGGGAUUAGCUAGUAGGUGGGGUAACGGCUCACCUAGGCGACGAUCCCUAGGUGGUCUGAGAGGAUGACAAUCCACACUUGAACUGAGACACGGUCCAGACUCCUACGGGAGGCAGCAGUGGGGAAUAUUGCAAAAUGGGCGCAAGCCUGAUGCAGCCAUGCCGCGUGUAUGAAGAAGGCCGUCGGGUUGUAAAGUACUUGCAGCGGGGAGGCGUUACUCGCAGAAGAAGCACCGGCUAACUCCGUGCCAGCAGCCGCGGUAAUUC
Molecule: ribosomal RNA, 406 nt
Filed under: uncultured bacterium
Lineage: Bacteria
Description: partial 16S ribosomal RNA
Rfam family: Bacterial small subunit ribosomal RNA
Source: RNAcentral